GGUAACGGCGUGCCAGCGGCCGCGGUAAUACGGAGGGUGCAAGCGUUACUCGGAAUCACUGGGCGUAAAGAGCGUGUAGGCGGGUAUAUAAGUCAGAAGUGAAAUCCAAUAGCUCAACUAUUGAACUGCUUUUGAAACUGUAUACAUAGAAUGUGGGAGAGGUAGAUGGAAUUUCUGGUGUAGGGGUAAAAUCCGUAGAGAUCAGAAGGAAUACCGAUUGCGAAGGCGAUCUACUGGAACAUUAUUGACGCUGAGACGCGAAAGCGUGGGGAGCAAACAGGAUUAGAUACCCUGGUAGUC
RNAcentral lists this ribosomal RNA (300 nucleotides) under uncultured Spiroplasma sp. RNAcentral's name for it is "bacterial SSU rRNA". It matches the Rfam family "Bacterial small subunit ribosomal RNA", at positions 496 to 795 of the family's 1533-position model. Lineage: Bacteria; Bacillati; Mycoplasmatota; Mollicutes; Entomoplasmatales; Spiroplasmataceae. The record is from RNAcentral.